UACGUAGGGGGCAAGCGUUGUCCGGAUUUAUUGGGCGUAAAGAGCUCGUAGGCGGCUCAGAAAGUCGGGUGUGAAACCUCCAGGCUCAACCUGGAGACGCCACCUGAUACUGCUGUGGCUAGAGUCCGGUAGGGGAACACGGAAUACCCGGUGUAGCGGUGAAAUGCUUAGAUAUCGGGUGGAACACCAGUGGCGAAGGCGGUGUUCUGGGCCGGAACUGACGCUGAGGAGCGAAAGCGUGGGGAGCGAACAGG
RNAcentral lists this ribosomal RNA (254 nucleotides) under uncultured bacterium. RNAcentral's name for it is "partial 16S ribosomal RNA". It matches the Rfam family "Bacterial small subunit ribosomal RNA", at positions 524 to 776 of the family's 1533-position model. The record is from RNAcentral.